Molecule: long non-coding RNA, 2621 nt
Filed under: Sus scrofa (pig)
Lineage: Eukaryota; Metazoa; Chordata; Mammalia; Artiodactyla; Suidae
Description: lncRNA (ENSSSCG00055006289.1, ENSSSCG00110024902.1)
Source: RNAcentral
ACUCACACUCUGACUGUAAACAGAGGGUACCUGGAUGCCAGGAGGCAGAGGGCACAGGGAUGGGUACAGCCCCUGUGUCCUUCCUGGGUAAACUGCCUCCCCUCACCCAGGACCGAUCUCCCUGUGGUUCAGGGCCAUGGGUCCCUCGCUGCUAAGACCUCCAGUUCCUCUAAUGUCCUGGAGGCACGUGGUGCCCAGCCCUUCUCAUUCCUGGGCAGGUCCAGCGUGUCUGUUUAUACCACGGGAGUCAACUAGAACUUUACGAGGGACUCACCCCCCACCCCCUUCUCUGGAGCCUGGCACCUUACUUCACUCCAAGCCUUGCUUUCCUCAGGGAGGAGGGGCAGGCCUGGGGGCUGGACCCAGGGCAGAGCCUCAACCCCGCAGGCUAACGCCAUCUCCUGGCACCAUCUGCUGGAUGGGAAGAGGUGCCUCUUGCUACCCACGAUGAUCUUAGAGGUUAUUACAAGAUAUUGAAUGGAGUUCCCUGCCCUAUACAGAGGCAAGACCGAAAAGAGAGAUAAUCCCACAGAAGCAUGAACAUAGAGCCAGAAGUGACUGAGAUGGCCAGUGGAUGGAGACAUGAGGCCAAUCCCAUUUCCAUCCCCAACACCCCUAUAUUGGGAGGGACCUUGGAUUCCCACCACCUGUGGGGUGAAUGUUUGAGUGGCUAUCUCAUCUCAAAGAACAAAUGCUGCAAGCUGAGUUGCAUGUAAAUGUAUGUAUUAAAACGUGUGUUAACUGUUGGUGGGAAUAUAUAUUGGUGCAGUGACCACAGAAAACAGUUUGGAGGUUCCUUUAAAAACUAAAAACUGAGUUACCAUAAGAUCUGGCAAUCCCAUUCCUGGGCAUAUAUCAGGAGAAAACUAAUUUGAAAGUGAUACAUGCACCCCAGCGUUCAGAGUGGCACCACUUACAAGAGCCAAGACGUGGAAGUGACUCAUUGACUCAGUCAUAAGGAAGAAUAAAACGACACCAUUUGCAGCAACAUGGGUGGACCCAAGAUCAUCAUAUUAAGCAAAUGAGAACCAAUAGUGACAUCGGAUCAUUGUUGAGCACCCUGUCCAUGAACUCUGCUCCAAUACUGAGGCCAAGGACUAAAUCCUCAAGGAGAGGAUUUGAUUUUAUACAACAAACCCAUUGAAUGUCUCCUUCGUCCCAAGCGGCCAGCCUUAGAAGAUACAAAGAUAAAUACGCCAUGGGCACUGCAGAGCCAGCGGAGAAGGACAAGGGAGCACUGUCUCCCGGGAGGACAUGGUUUUCUUUCAGGCUUUUCUUGUACCUGCCUACCUCUAUUUGCCACUCACACUGUUUCUGCCACCCUGUUUUUUUUUUAUUCUCUACUAAAUGAAUCUUACUAUUUUAUUUUCUUUUAAGUUUGUCAAGUUCAGUAAUCUGCUCAGAAACCAGCUUUGGAGUAUGUCCAUUAUUUUUUUUAAUUUAUUUUAUUUUUUUUGUCUUUUUAUCUUUUCUAGGGCCACACCCCCCGCAUAUGGAGGUUCCCAGGCUAGAGGUCAGAUCGGAGCUGUAGCCGCCGGCCUACGCCAGAGCCACAGCAACACCAGAUCCGAGCCACAUUUGCAACCUACACCACAGCUCACUGCAAUGCCAGAUCCUUGACCCACUGAGCGAGGCCAGGAAUCGAACCUAUAUCCUCAUGGUUCCUAGUCGGAUUGUUUCCUCUGCGUCACAUCAGGAACUCCAUGGAGUGUGUCCAUUAUUGUUUGUUUCCAGAUUCUUCUUUAAUUUUUGCUUUUAUUUUUAUGUUUCUCCUUUCUUAGAAUGUUCUCUUGAUUUCUAAAAUUGAAUGUGUAAUUCAUUAAUGUUCAAUCUUAUUUUAUUAUUAAUAUAUUUUAAACUACAUUUUCCAAUAGAGUGGUUUCACUUCAUCCACAAAUUUUGACACAUAUGGUUUUCACUAUUUUAUUUUUUUCUUUUUACAGCUGCACCUGCAGCAUAUGGAAGUUCCAGGCCAGGGAUGGAACCACAGCUGGAUCCAUAACCCACUGAGCCACCAGGGAACUCCUAUUUACCUUUUUGAAAUUGAAUUUUUUAUUUUAUUUCAUUGUGGUUACAGAACAUAUAAAUUUUUUUGGUCUUUUUUUUUUGAGAAUUGGCUUAUUGUCUACCUUUCUGACUAUUUUGUCAUGUAUUCUUGGAAAAAAUGUGUAUUCUCCAUUUGGGGGUGCAAGCUUUUAGGUAUGGCCUUCCUUAAUAAGUUGUCUUGUAAUGAUUUAUGAUUUAUAUUCUUAUUCAAUUUUUUACUCCUUAGGCUUUGAGUUUCUAAAAAUGAUAAAUGGAAAUCUCCCCCAGAAACCUUCCAUUCUAAUUGUGAAUUUGUUAAUUUCCGCUUAUAAUUCUGUCAAUUUUCACAUCAUGUAUUUCAAGACUGUUGCUAAAUGUAUGCACAUUCAGUUAUUACUGUAUCUUCCUGGUAUAGUAGCUUAAGUAAUGAUUCUCUUUAUCAUCAUCAUACAAUGCUUGUAUUUUAUGUCUAUUUGAUAAUAAUUAUUAAUUAAAAUAUUAUUGCUGAUGCUAAUAUUGCUAAACCAACUUUCUUUUUCUAUCAUUUCACUGUCAACAUUUUUGUGUUACUAUGAAUUAUAAACAAAAUACAGAUU